This 769-nucleotide long non-coding RNA is filed under the name Phoenix dactylifera (date palm). RNAcentral describes it as "long non-coding RNA (PDAC_LNC018432)". The record is from RNAcentral. Lineage: Eukaryota; Viridiplantae; Streptophyta; Magnoliopsida; Arecales; Arecaceae.
UAUUUCAGUACAUUUUCUCAAAGAUUAAGAAGAAGCAUGCCUUAUUCUUGAAAAAUUAAAAAGCGUGAUUGAUAUAAAUUUUGAAUAAUUCUAGAUCACUCUACAUUCUUGAUAUCAUAUAAUUUCAGUUUUAUUCACGCUUAUCAUUAAAAUCUGAAAUUCAAUAAAAAAAAUGAUGAUUAAAGAAGAAUGCAUCUUUUGAGGGGGAGCUUUAGACAUAUCAAUCUCUCUUCAUCUUAUUCAAAAGUCACCAUCAUAUGAUGCAUACCUUGAAUAUUUUAUGAAUUUUUUUUGAUAAACCUCCUUGUGGUGCCAUUACUUGUUUUAAUUAUAUAUAGCCCUAUACUUUGUGUUUAAUUCUAUAGAGCGUUUAUUAUCUCAAAUGAGUAUGAUUUGAUACUUGCAAAUAUGCUCUCAAUGGGUUAAGUAGAAAAUAUGCUGAAAUUUGUAGAAAACAUAUUUUCCAGAUUAACAAUUUGAAUGUUUUAUUGAAAAUUAUUUUCAAAUUCUAAACUCUUAAAUGGAAUGCUCAAUUAAGGGGGGAGAAAGAAAAUUUCAGGAGGAGAGAUCAUAUGGAACUUAAUCGCAUAAAUUCAUAACUAAAGGAGAGAAAAAGAAUACUAAAUGAGAAGUGAUCCUAAUACUUUCCAAUAUGUAUCAUCUGAAAUUUAAAUCUGAAAAUCUUUAUGAUACACCUUGAGGCUUGUUAUUUGAUUAGUAUAUCUUAUGCAUCAAUCAUGAACCAAAUUACAAUUCAAACAGUUGAUCU